This 253-nucleotide ribosomal RNA is filed under the name uncultured bacterium. RNAcentral's name for it is "partial 16S ribosomal RNA". It matches the Rfam family "Bacterial small subunit ribosomal RNA", at positions 524 to 776 of the family's 1533-position model. The record is from RNAcentral.
UACGGAGGGUGCGAGCGUUGUCCGGAAUUACUGGGCGUAAAGGGCGCGUAGGCGGGAUGGCAAGUCGGUCGUGAAAUCCCUCGGCUCAACUGAGGAUCGUCGAUCGAUACUGCCGUUCUUGAGGAUUGCAGAGGAGACUGGAAUUCCCGGUGUAGCGGUGAAAUGUGUAGAGAUCGGGAGGAACACCGGUGGCGAAGGCGGGUCUCUGGGCAAUUCCUGACGCUGAGGCGCGAAAGCGUGGGGAGCAAACAGG